Panthera uncia (snow leopard) is the source of this 336-nucleotide long non-coding RNA. RefSeq lists it as uncharacterized. The transcript is spliced from 3 exons. The record is from RefSeq and is a predicted model, not a curated record. NCBI's taxonomy places the organism in Eukaryota, Metazoa, Chordata, Mammalia, Carnivora, Felidae.
CGCGGGGAGAAGGAUUUCUACAUCAAGGAUACACAAGUCUCUAAAAAGAAGGAAAAACAAUUACAUUGUUUGGGGAAGACUGCAGAGAGAAGUUUCUUCCUGAAUAAUCCUGCAGACCCUUCGUAGAUUUCAUGGCAUUAAAGUUUCUGGAACUGGGGGUUCCUUCUCCUCCUAGCAGAUGGUACUGGACAUAAGCACGAUUUCCUUAAGGCCUCCAGGUGCCGGGCAGCUGAUUGCUUAUGCCAGCUUUCCCCCAAGGGUGGCAUCUAGACUCAGUUUGUCCCCAUCACAAGACUGUUCCGUAGUUCCUCUGUAAAAGGUAAAGUAGUGAAGGUC